Molecule: ribosomal RNA, 412 nt
Filed under: uncultured bacterium
Lineage: Bacteria
Description: bacterial SSU rRNA
Rfam family: Bacterial small subunit ribosomal RNA
Source: RNAcentral
AGAGUUUGAUCCUGGCUCAGAUUGAACGCUGGCGGCAUGCCUUACACAUGCAAGUCGAACGGCAGCACGGGAGCAAUCCUGGUGGCGAGUGGCGAACGGGUGAGUAAUAUAUCGGAACGUGCCCAGUUGUGGGGGAUAACGUAGCGAAAGCUACGCUAAUACCGCAUACGAUCUAUGGAUGAAAGCGGGGGAUCGCAAGACCUCGCGCGAUUGGAGCGGCCGAUAUCAGAUUAGGUAGUUGGUGGGGUAAAGGCUCACCAAGCCGACGAUCUGUAGCUGGUCUGAGAGGACGACCAGCCACACUGGGACUGAGACACGGCCCAGACUCCUACGGGAGGCAGCAGUGGGGAAUUUUGGACAAUGGGCGCAAGCCUGAUCCAGCAAUGCCGCGUGCAGGAUGAAGGCCUUCGGG